RNAcentral lists this ribosomal RNA (730 nucleotides) under uncultured Hyphomicrobiaceae bacterium. RNAcentral's name for it is "bacterial SSU rRNA". It matches the Rfam family "Bacterial small subunit ribosomal RNA", at positions 770 to 1498 of the family's 1533-position model. The record is from RNAcentral. Lineage: Bacteria; Pseudomonadati; Pseudomonadota; Alphaproteobacteria; Hyphomicrobiales; Hyphomicrobiaceae.
UAACAGGAUUAGAUACCCUGGUAGUCCACGCCGUAAACGAUGAGUGCUAGCCGUUGGGUCCGUAGGAUUCAGUGGCGCCGCUAACGCAUUAAGCACUCCGCCUGGGGAGUACGGUCGCAAGAUUAAAACUCAAAGGAAUUGACGGGGACCCGCACAAGCGGUGGAGCAUGUGGUUUAAUUCGAGGCAACGCGAAGAACCUUACCAGGCCUUGACAUGGGGAGUAUGAAUACCAGAAAAGGUAUUCUUCAGUUUGGCUGGCUCCCACACAGGUGCUGCAUGGCUGUCGUCAGCUCGUGUCGUGAGAUGUUGGGUUAAGUCCCGCAACGAGCGCAACCCUCAUCCUUAGUUGCCAACAGGUUAAGCUGGGAACUCUAAGGAAACUGCCGGUGAUAAGCCGGAGGAAGGUGGGGAUGACGUCAAGUCUUCAUGGCCCUUACGGCCUGGGCUACACACGUGCUACAAUGGCGGUGACAAUGGGCAGCCAACCUGCAAGGGUGCGCUAAUCCCAAAAAGCCGUCUCAGUUCGGAUUGCACUCUGCAACUCGAGUGCAUGAAGCUGGAAUCGCUAGUAAUCGUAGAUCAGCAUGCUACGGUGAAUACGUUCCCGGGUCUUGUACACACCGCCCGUCACACCAUGGAAGUUGGUUCUACCUUAAGCCAGCCCGCUAACCGCAAGGGAGCAGCUGACCACGGUAGGGUCAAUGACUGGGGUGAAGUCGUAACAAGGUA